CCUACGGGCGGCAGCAGUGAGGAAUAUUGGUCAAUGGCCGUAAGACUGAACCAGCCAAGUCGCGUGAAGGAAGAAGGAUCUAUGGUUUGUAAAUCUCUUUUAUAGGGGAAUAAAGGUAUCCACGUGUGGAUAUUUGCAUGUACCCAAUGAAUAAGCAUCGGCUAACUCCGUACCAGCAGCCGCGGUAAUACGGCGGAUGCGAGCGUUAUGCGGCAUUAUUGGUUUUAAAGGGUGCGUAGGUUGUUUUUUAAGUCAGCGGUGAAUGUUUGUGGCUCAACCAUAAAAUUGCCGUUGAAACUGGAAGACUUGAGUGUGUUUGAGGUAGGCGGAAUGCGGGGUGUAGCGGUGAAAUGCAUAGAUAUCACGCAGAACUCCGAUUGCGAAGGCAGCUUACUAAGCCAUAACUGACACUGAAGCACGAAAGCGAGGGUAUCAAACAGGAUUAGAUACCCUUGUAGUC
RNAcentral lists this ribosomal RNA (460 nucleotides) under uncultured bacterium. RNAcentral's name for it is "partial 16S ribosomal RNA". It matches the Rfam family "Bacterial small subunit ribosomal RNA", at positions 338 to 795 of the family's 1533-position model. The record is from RNAcentral.